GGUUGGCCAAAAAGUUCGUUUGGGUUUUUCUGUAUCAUCUCAUGGAAAAACCUGAACAAAGUCUUGGGCCAACC
RNAcentral lists this microRNA precursor (74 nucleotides) under Tursiops truncatus (common bottlenose dolphin). Its description in RNAcentral is "miRNA (ENSTTRG00000024597.1)". Lineage: Eukaryota; Metazoa; Chordata; Mammalia; Artiodactyla; Delphinidae. The record is from RNAcentral.